This 425-nucleotide long non-coding RNA is filed under the name Eucalyptus grandis. Its description in RNAcentral is "long non-coding RNA (EGRA_LNC002004)". The record is from RNAcentral. Lineage: Eukaryota; Viridiplantae; Streptophyta; Magnoliopsida; Myrtales; Myrtaceae.
GGGUCUAGCCAGACUGAGACGUCUGCUCGCUCAAGAGCCUAGUGAACCUCAAUGUGGCCUACAAUUUCUUCUCUGGGUUCAGCCAAGAAUGCACGAUGCCCUCCUUCCCGAACGUCAGGUUCAAUUUCGCAUUAAAUAGUGCUGUUAAAAAUUAGAGCUUUUAAAUAGAAUAAUAUCGUUUUCCCCCCUGAUCCUCUGACGCAUCAAUUUAUUCAGUUCAUACAACCAGUUCAUACAGUAGACGACCAGGAUAUCAGUGAAGAGCAGUGUUUUUCUCUCUUCUUCUAGUUGAAGCAUGAAGAUAGUUACCACAAACCCAGAGUAACUAUCCCAAAAGUUCUCUCUACUCUGCACCACUUCAAUCUUUCCCACAAACUAUCUCGAAAUGAUUUCUGCAAUCUCCCCUCUUAUCUCUUUGAUAUAAA